UCCGGAAUUAUUGGGCGUAAAGAGCUCGUAGGCGGUCUGUCGCGUCUGCUGUGAAAUCUGGGGGCUCAACCCCCAGCCUGCAGUGGGUACGGGCAGACUAGAGUGCGGUAGGGGAGAUUGGAACUCCUGGUGUAGCGGUGGAAUACGCAGAUAUCAGGAGGAACACCGGUGGCGAAGGCGGGUCUCUGGGCCGUAACUGACGCUGAGGAGCGAAAGCAUGGGGAGCGAACAGG
RNAcentral lists this ribosomal RNA (233 nucleotides) under uncultured bacterium. RNAcentral describes it as "partial 16S ribosomal RNA". It matches the Rfam family "Bacterial small subunit ribosomal RNA", at positions 544 to 776 of the family's 1533-position model. The record is from RNAcentral.